AAUUUAUUAAUUUAAAAUUUAGAAUUACUUUAAAUUUUUAAAAUUUGGAUACAUAUUAAAAAAAUUAAUUUUAGAAAAAAUUUAACUGAUAAAUAGAUUUAUACCAUCAAUAAAUAUUUAAAUUUAAAAUAUAAAUAUAAAUUUAAUUUAAUUAAAUGUUACGUGCAUUUGCACGUGCACUAUAACUAGUAUAUAUAAAAGCGUAUAGAAAUUCCGACAAUGACAGACGGAAUCCAAAAAGGAAGAAUAUUCCCUACAAAUGGUCAUAAUCAGUUUGUUAAAAAGUAUCUUAAGUAUAAUAUAUGAACGGUUAUGAUCGACCUAUUAAAUCUCUACUAUAUAUAAAAAUCUAUUCCCUAUAAUUGGUUAUGAUCAAUUUGUUAAAAAAAUAUCUAAAAGAAGAAUAAUUAUAAUCAAUCUAUUAAAAAAUAACAUUUCUAUCCAUCUAUAAAUUCAAUCAUACGAACGAUUAUAAUCAAUUUGUUAAAAAAUAUCUCAAAUAAAAAUAAAUGGUUAUNUUUAACGGUAUGGAUCAUUGAUUUGAACGCCCUAAGAUCGAAAACAAAUACUAUAGUACCGAAGCUCGGUACUAUAGAUAGUAUAGUAGCCUAAUUCUAUAUAUAUAUUUGCUUUUUAUAUCCGUAUCUAAAACUAUCUACUUAGCAUCAGUUAAAUCUGCUACGUUCGGAUUUGGCUUCAAAUAAAAGUUUCGAGUAUCCGUCUAUGAUGUCCUUAAAUAGACUUGGUUGGUUAAUUAAUGGUUAACUAGUGUAAUUGCUCGCGCAUUGCAGCGGAUAUAUAUUGAUCAAGUGAGAAUUCGAAGUAAUAUUCUACAAUAUUAUAAAAAAGAUAAGGAAUUAGAGACAUAUCUUUUCAAAUUUAUUUAGUUAGUUGAAAUAGUACAGUCACACAAACUUUAUAGUGAUUAAAUUCUAUUAUAAAACUAAAAAUAUUUAGGCUUCGUUUGGGAUUGCGUGGAGAUUGCAUUACGUGCGGUGAGAAACGACGAUGGAAAAAUAUUUUCGUACGUAAUAUUGCGUUCCGUAUAUUGCGGUUAGUCAGUUACGAUAUAUUUUAUGCAGUUCCAUCGAGAACGCAGAAGCAUAUCCCUAUAUGCUUUUUCUCAACUCCAUUCUAUCUAAUAGCGUUAGAUCCACCUCAAUACCAAACUAAGCCUUAAUCUACUAAGCAAACAGGAAAUAAAAUGUACGAGGAAAAUUAAUAUUAUUUGCUUGCCGUAGAGAUUUGGUCCAUAUUCAAACCACGGGCAACAAUCAUGGGUAGAAGAAACAGAAAAAAAUGAAGAAAAAAGAAAAAAAAAAAAAAACCAGCCAAUUUGAGGAGAAAAAAUUAAAAAAAUCUGUGGAGAAUAUUACUUUCAUAUAUUGUUGAUGAAAUGAUAUAACUUAUUUAUUGUGAAUAAAAUAGAUUAUAUAUUAUAAUCAAUAUAAGGCUUUUCAAAGCAUUUCUCUUUUUCUAAAACUCUAACUACUAUAAUACAUCUCUCAAAUUAUUCCAUCGUUCCUCUUUUAUUUUAAAAAAUUCAAAUCACUAUAAUAACACAUUUUACAUUUAAUAAUUAAAUAAAAAAGAAAAAAUAAACGUACAU
This 1609-nucleotide long non-coding RNA is filed under the name Ananas comosus (pineapple). RNAcentral's name for it is "long non-coding RNA (ACOM_LNC003477)". The record is from RNAcentral. Lineage: Eukaryota; Viridiplantae; Streptophyta; Magnoliopsida; Poales; Bromeliaceae.